This 1016-nucleotide ribosomal RNA is filed under the name uncultured bacterium. Its description in RNAcentral is "bacterial SSU rRNA". It matches the Rfam family "Bacterial small subunit ribosomal RNA", at positions 357 to 1376 of the family's 1533-position model. The record is from RNAcentral.
AGGAAUAUUGGUCAAUGGGCGCGAGCCUGAACCAGCCAAGUAGCGUGAAGGAUGAAGGUCCUAUGGAUUGUAAACUUCUUUUAUACGGGAAUAAAGUGGUCCACGUGUGGGCUUUUGCAUGUACCGUAUGAAUAAGCAUCGGCUAACUCCGUGCCAGCAGCCGCGGUAAUACGGAGGAUGCGAGCGUUAUCCGGAUUUAUUGGGUUUAAAGGGAGCGCAGACGGGGGAUUAAGUCAGUUGUGAAAGUUUGCGGCUCAACCGUAAAAUUGCAGUUGAUACUGGUUCCCUUGAGUGCAGUUGAGGCAGGCGGAAUUCGUGGUGUAGCGGUGAAAUGCAUAGAUAUCACGAAGAACCCCGAUUGCGAAGGCAGCCUGCUAAGCUGUAACUGACGUUGAGGCUCGAAAGCGUGGGGAGCAAACAGGAUUAGAUACCCUGGUAGUCCACACGGUAAACGAUGGAUACUCGCUGUUGGCGAUAUACUGUCAGCGGCCAAGCGAAAGCAUUAAGUAUCCCACCUGGGGAGUACGCCGGCAACGGUGAAACUCAAAGGAAUUGACGGGGGCCCGCACAAGCGGAGGAACAUGUGGUUUAAUUCGAUGAUACGCGAGGAACCUUACCCGGGCUUAAAUUGCAGACGAAUUACCUGGAAACAGGUAAGCCGCAAGGCGUCUGUGAAGGUGCUGCAUGGUUGUCGUCAGCUCGUGCCGUGAGGUGUCGGCUUAAGUGCCAUAACGAGCGCAACCCUCGUGGCCAGUUACUAGCAGGUAACGCUGAGGACUCUGGCCAGACUGCCAUCGUAAGAUGCGAGGAAGGUGGGGAUGACGUCAAAUCAGCACGGCCCUUACGUCCGGGGCUACACACGUGUUACAAUGGGAGGUACAGAAGGCAGCUACCCGGCGACGGGAUGCCAAUCUCCAAAGCCUCUCUCAGUUCGGACUGGAGUCUGCAACCCGACUCCACGAAGCUGGAUUCGCUAGUAAUCGCGCAUCAGCCACGGCGCGGUGAAUACGUUCCCG